UCUCUCUCUCUCUCUCUCUCUCUCUUCUGUUUUGAAGAAAAGCAUGAGGUAGAAGAGAAACAAAGAGAUGGGUUUUGAUAAGUUGGAUUGGAAAUCCAACAAAAAUUAAAAAAAAAAAGAAAGAAAAGAAAAGAAAACGAAAAAAGGGGGGAAAAAUAAUUCUAAACCAUCGAACCCACCCCCACCACCAAAUGGAACUCACCGAUAUGCAAAGCAACAAGAAAAAUAAUAACGCCCAAGAACCCCACCAAUCUCACCACCAGCAA
This 266-nucleotide unclassified non-coding RNA is filed under the name Hevea brasiliensis (rubber tree). Lineage: Eukaryota; Viridiplantae; Streptophyta; Magnoliopsida; Malpighiales; Euphorbiaceae. The record is from RNAcentral.